RNAcentral lists this ribosomal RNA (253 nucleotides) under uncultured bacterium. RNAcentral describes it as "partial 16S ribosomal RNA". It matches the Rfam family "Bacterial small subunit ribosomal RNA", at positions 524 to 776 of the family's 1533-position model. The record is from RNAcentral.
UACGGAGGAUGCGAGCGUUAUCCGGAUUCAUUGGGUUUAAAGGGUGUGUAGGCGGUUUCUUAAGUCAGUGGUGAAAUCCUGCGGCUCAACCGUAGAACUGCCAUUGAAACUGAGGAACUUGAAUAUAGUUGAGGUAGGCGGAAUGAGUAGUGUAGCGGUGAAAUGCUUAGAUAUUACUCAGAACACCGAUUGCGAAGGCAGCUUACUAAACUAUUAUUGACGCUGAUGCACGAAAGCGUGGGGAGCGAACAGG